This 73-nucleotide transfer RNA is filed under the name Camelus bactrianus (Bactrian camel). It matches the Rfam family "tRNA". From Rfam's summary of the family: Transfer RNA (tRNA) molecules are approximately 80 nucleotides in length. RNAcentral also lists the same sequence under 2 other names. The record is from Rfam by way of RNAcentral. Lineage: Eukaryota; Metazoa; Chordata; Mammalia; Artiodactyla; Camelidae.
AAGGGUACAGCUCAAGUGGUAGAGUGCAUGCUUAGCAUGCACGAGGUCCUGGGUUCAAUCCCCAGUGCCUUCA